AUGGAAAAAGAUAUAUCAUAUAAAAAUAACCAAAUGAGAACUUGAGUGACAGUUAAAUAUUAAUGUAAGACAAAAUAGACCUUAAGAUAAAACUUGUUACUAGAAAAAAUAAGACAUAAUAAAAGGCUCAAUUAACGAGGAAGAUAUAACUAUAAAUGUACAUAUACCAAACAACAGAGCGGAUUAUAAACCAUGACCAGGUGGGAUUCAUCUCAGGAUAGCAAGGUUUACUCAACACAUGAAAAUCAA
Molecule: long non-coding RNA, 249 nt
Filed under: Pan troglodytes (chimpanzee)
Lineage: Eukaryota; Metazoa; Chordata; Mammalia; Primates; Hominidae
Description: long non-coding RNA NONPTRT017017
Source: RNAcentral